This 359-nucleotide unclassified non-coding RNA is filed under the name soil metagenome. RNAcentral describes it as "partial contains 5.8S ribosomal RNA, internal transcribed spacer 2, and large subunit ribosomal RNA". The stretch from base 5 to 121 matches the Rfam family "5.8S ribosomal RNA", at positions 38 to 154 of the family's 154-position model. The record is from RNAcentral.
GAUAGAAGAACGUAGCGAAAUGCGAUAAGUAAUGUGAAUUGCAGAAUUCAGUGAAUCAUCGAAUCUUUGAACGCACAUUGCGCCCGUCAGUAUUCUGGCGGGCAUGCCUGUUCGAGCGUCAUUACGCCCCUCAAGUCCCCUGUGGACUUGGUGUUGGGGAUCGGCGAGGCUGGUUUUCCAGCACAGCCGUCCCUUAAAUUAAUUGGCGGUCUCGCCGUGGCCCUCCUCUGCGCAGUAGUAAAACACUCGCAACAGGAGCCCGGCGCGGUCCACUGCCGUAAAACCCCCCAACUUUUUAUAGUUGACCUCGAAUCAGGUAGGACUACCCGCUGAACUUAAGCAUAUCAAUAAGCGGAGGA